RNAcentral lists this long non-coding RNA (592 nucleotides) under Sus scrofa (pig). RNAcentral's name for it is "lncRNA (ENSSSCG00070024078.1)". Lineage: Eukaryota; Metazoa; Chordata; Mammalia; Artiodactyla; Suidae. The record is from RNAcentral.
UAGAGUCAGGCAGGGGAGGCAUCCGGCCUCUGGAAGGCUGGGCUUCAGGUAGUGAAGGCGGUGUGUCACUGCGGUGGUAUCUGGGGAGGCGUGCCGAGCCUCUCCGUGUGCGCGUCCCCUCCAGAAAUCUCCACAUCCCCCUGCUUCUCUCUCCACCAGAGCCGCCUCUCCCUCUGCCGACUGCCUGCCUGCCUGCCUGCCUGCCUGCCUGCCUGUGCCAAGAAGCCUACCCGAAUCGAGGGAAGAGAGAACGGUGCCCGGGAGCGCCUUAACUUCACGCCGGGCGCAAGGGCGGAAGGGGGCCGAUUGGUUGACAGCCGGCUGCCUUGCCUUAAGGAGCAGGGCGUCUGAUGUCAAGCCGCCUCUCCCUCUGCCGACUGCCUGCCUGCCUGCCUGCCUGCCUGCCUGUGCCAAGAAGCCUACCCGAAUCGAGGGAAGAGAGAACGAUGCCCGGGAGCGCCUUAACUUCACGCCGGGCGCAAGGGCGGAAGGGGCCGAUUGGUUGACAGCCGGCUGCCUUGCCUUAAGAAGCAGGGCGUCUGAUGUCAGUGAGUGGGGCGGUUUCGUUGGGGCGAGAGGCCUGGCCGACCUU